This 1023-nucleotide ribosomal RNA is filed under the name Teratosphaeriaceae sp. CBS 117937. RNAcentral describes it as "SSU rRNA". It matches the Rfam family "Eukaryotic small subunit ribosomal RNA", at positions 84 to 1117 of the family's 1831-position model. Lineage: Eukaryota; Fungi; Ascomycota; Dothideomycetes; Mycosphaerellales; Teratosphaeriaceae. The record is from RNAcentral.
AAACUGCGAAUGGCUCAUUAAAUCAGUUAUCGUUUAUUUGAUAGUACCUUACUACAUGGAUACCUGUGGUAAUUCUAGAGCUAAUACAUGCUAAAAACCCCGACUUCGGGAGGGGUGUAUUUAUUAGAUAAAAAACCAAUGCCCUUCGGGGCUCCUUGGUGAAUCAUAAUAACUUAACGAAUCGCAUGGCCUUGCGCCGGCGAUGGUUCAUUCAAAUUUCUGCCCUAUCAACUUUCGAUGGUAGGAUAGUGGCCUACCAUGGUGGCAACGGGUAACGGGGAAUUAGGGUUCUAUUCCGGAGAGGGAGCCUGAGAAACGGCUACCACAUCCAAGGAAGGCAGCAGGCGCGCAAAUUACCCAAUCCCGAUACGGGGAGGUAGUGACAAUAAAUACUGAUACAGGGCUCUUUUGGGUCUUGUAAUUGGAAUGAGUACAAUUUAAAUCCCUUAACGAGGAACAAUUGGAGGGCAAGUCUGGUGCCAGCAGCCGCGGUAAUUCCAGCUCCAAUAGCGUAUAUUAAAGUUGUUGCAGUUAAAAAGCUCGUAGUUGAACCUUGGGCCUGGCUGGCCGGUCCGCCUCACCGCGUGUACUGGUCCGGCCGGGCCUUUCCUUCUGGGGAGCCGCAUGCCCUUCACUGGGCGUGUCGGGGAACCAGGACUUUUACUGUGAAAAAAUUAGAGUGUUCAAAGCAGGCCUUUGCUCGAAUACAUUAGCAUGGAAUAAUAGAAUAGGACGUGCGGUUCUAUUUUGUUGGUUUCUAGGGCCGCCGUAAUGAUUAAUAGGGAUAGUCGGGGGCAUUAGUAUUCAAUUGUCAGAGGUGAAAUUCUUGGAUUUAUUGAAGACUAACUACUGCGAAAGCAUCUGCCAAGGAUGUUUUCAUUAAUCAGGAACGAAAGUUAGGGGAUCGAAGACGAUCAGAUACCGUCGUAGUCUUAACCAUAAACUAUGCCGACUAGGGAUCGGUGGGUGUUACUAUUAUGACCUCAUCGGCACCUUACGAGAAAUCAAAGUUUUUGGGUCUGG